UGGGAAUGAUGAUGGCCAAGCCGAUGGUCUUGAAGUACUUCUUGUACAUCUCCAACUUCACCUGUUGUAGAAAAACACAAACACCAGUCAAUCUCAAGGAAUCAGAUAACUUGGUCUCUGGAGAAUGGCAUGAAGUCGACCAUGCUGAGACGAGCAUUGGACCUCCUGGAACCAGCUUCAAGAAAAGGACAGUUUUUUGCGCUCUCUUUUCGCUCUGUGCUGGCGAAGGUGUGGAUGAAGUCAGCAAAGGCGCCAUGGCGACUAAGGAGCUCCUGGUAGGAACCGCUCUCUGUGAUUUCUCCAUCUACCAGGACGAGGAUAUGGUCAGCCUGCGGCAGGAAGCUCAUCCCAUGGGUCACCAGGAUGCGGGUCUGCAUAGCAAGCCACACAAGUCAGAAAAAUAGGAUCAUCUCCGGCAGGUAGGAUGUCCAGGUCGGGCAGCAGUGCGCAGGCCUCCAGCACUCGGUGGUACCAUGUCUUCAGUUUCUCACGGCCAAAUAUGAUGUUGUCUUGGACUGUGGCGUUCUGGAUCCAGGCCUGCUGGGGCACAUACGCCACAGAGCCCUGCAAAGACAGAUGUCAAAAGAGAGGCUCAUGGCGGACAACAAAGAGGACUUUCCACUGCCCACAUGUCCGACCACAGCAACGAGGGAACCUCGUGGCACAUGGACGUUGAUCCUG
Siniperca chuatsi (mandarin fish) is the source of this 681-nucleotide long non-coding RNA. RefSeq lists it as uncharacterized. The transcript is spliced from 5 exons. NCBI's taxonomy places the organism in Eukaryota, Metazoa, Chordata, Actinopteri, Centrarchiformes, Sinipercidae. The record is from RefSeq and is a predicted model, not a curated record.